AACGAACGCUGGCGGCAUGCCUAACACAUGCAAGUCGAACGAAGGCUUCGGCCUUAGUGGCGCACGGGUGCGUAACGCGUGGGAAUCUGCCCUUGGCUUCGGAAUAACAGUUAGAAAUGACUGCUAAUACCGGAUGAUGUCGCAAGACCAAAGAUUUAUCGGCCAGGGACGAGCCCGCGUAGGAUUAGGUAGUUGGUGGGGUAAAGGCCUACCAAGCCGAUGAUCCUUAGCUGGUCUGAGAGGAUGAUCAGCCACACUGGGACUGAGACACGGCCCAGACUCCUACGGGGGGCAGCAGUGGGGAAUAUUGGACAAUGGGGGCAACCCUGAUCCAGCAAUGCCGCGUGAGUGAUGAAGGCCUUAGGGUUGUAAAGCUCUUUUACCCGGGAUGAUAAUGACAGUACCGGGAGAAUAAGCUCCGGCUAACUCCGUGCCAGCAGCCGCCGUAA
RNAcentral lists this ribosomal RNA (449 nucleotides) under uncultured bacterium. RNAcentral describes it as "partial 16S ribosomal RNA". It matches the Rfam family "Bacterial small subunit ribosomal RNA", at positions 29 to 523 of the family's 1533-position model. The record is from RNAcentral.